Molecule: long non-coding RNA, 405 nt
Organism: Bombus impatiens (common eastern bumble bee)
Lineage: Eukaryota; Metazoa; Arthropoda; Insecta; Hymenoptera; Apidae
Exons: 3
Source: RefSeq, a predicted model, not a curated record
CAUCUUGGAUUAAGCAUAUCAAACUGAAAAGUAAUCUAACAAUGGUGUGGAACAGUUGACAGCGAAAUGGUGUGGAACAGCAAAACAGUGAACAAUCAGUGCUUAUUGACAGUUUCGUUUCCCUGGCAUUUACAUGCUAUCAUAAACGUUUCUGACAAAACGUCUAAAACUGUAAACAUUAUAUCAAAACACAAUUAUUAUAAAAUAUUCUGUACAUCAUUAAUGUUAGUGAUAAUGAACUGUUACAUUUUGUUAAUCAGACGUAGCUUGUAGUUACUGUUACCUAAUUUUUACCGAUCACUUGAAAAAUUAGUCGUAGUAUCGCCUUUUACAUAAAAUCAGCGGAGUGUGUUUACACUUCUGCUCGUCACUGUAUAUUAUGUGUUUAUAUCGUUAUGACAUUUA